This 253-nucleotide ribosomal RNA is filed under the name uncultured bacterium. RNAcentral's name for it is "partial 16S ribosomal RNA". It matches the Rfam family "Bacterial small subunit ribosomal RNA", at positions 524 to 776 of the family's 1533-position model. The record is from RNAcentral.
UACAGAGGUCCCGAGCGUUGUUCAGAUUCACUGGGCGUAAAGGGUGCGUAGGUGGCGAGGUAAGUCGGAUGUGAAAUCUCCAAGCUUAACUUGGAAAUGGCAUUGGAAACUACCUGGCUAGAGGUUUGGAGGGGGGACUGGAAUGCUUGGUGUAGCAGUGGAAUGCGUAGAUAUCAAGCGGAACACCAGUGGCGAAGGCGGCUACCUGGACAAUUGCUGACGCUCAGGCACGAAAGCGUGGGGAGCAAAAGGG